This 443-nucleotide ribosomal RNA is filed under the name uncultured bacterium. RNAcentral's name for it is "partial 16S ribosomal RNA". It matches the Rfam family "Bacterial small subunit ribosomal RNA", at positions 338 to 795 of the family's 1533-position model. The record is from RNAcentral.
CCUACGGGUGGCAGCAGUGGGGAAUAUUGGGCAAUGGGCGCAAGCCUGACCCAGCAACGCCGCGUGAAGGAAGAAGGCCCUCGGGUUGUAAACUUCCUUUGUUCGGGACGCAGAAAGUGACGGUACUUGCCGAAUAAGCCACGGCUAACUACGUGCCAGCAGCCGCGGUAAUACGGAGGUGGCAAGCGUUAUCCGGAUUUACUGGGUGUAAAGGGCGUGUAGGCGGGAUUGCAAGUCAGAUGUGAAAUUCCAGGGCUCAACCCUGGGCCUGCAUUUGAAACUGGAGUUCUGGAGUGAGGGAGAGGCAGGCGGAAUGCGGUGUGUAGCGGUGAAAUGCGUAGAUAUACGGAGGAACACCGGUGGCGAAGGCGGCGUGCUGGACAUUAACUGACGCUGAGGCGCGAAAGCGUGGGGAGCAAACAGGAUUAGAUACCCCAGUAGUC